RNA transcript from Cebus imitator (Panamanian white-faced capuchin), 1518 nucleotides. It is a transcript of the gene named coiled-coil domain containing 159, with no coding region annotated. Lineage: Eukaryota; Metazoa; Chordata; Mammalia; Primates; Cebidae. The record is from RefSeq and is a predicted model, not a curated record. The transcript is spliced from 11 exons.
CCCCUCUCUGUGACUACUUCAGCCUUUGAGCUUUUUAAUGCGAUGGUGUCCCCGCGGGAUCAAAUUUCAGCAUCACAGCUGAGGCCUGGCUUCGCGGUCCCUGACGGGAGAUCAUGAACAGGUGGCUCUUCCUUGGACAUGGCUCUGGAGUGUACAGCUCACUGGUCCAGGACCCCACAGCGGGAGACCUUGGGACGCCCUGCUUCUGGGGACAUAGUGAGGAGUGUAGACUGGAUGCCAGUGGUGGGCUCGGGGCCUCCACCAUAUGGGGCUCCCCCCUUCCCCAACCCAGACCUGAAGAAGGAGUGCCGUAAUGACCAGGACGUUUUGAAGAGGCAUCACAACGUAGCUAAGAAGCCCUUGGAGACCAGCUCUUCCAAAGCCAAAGCCAAAACCAUUGUGAUGAUUCCUGACUCCCAGAAGCUCCUGCGAUGUGAACUUGAGUCACUCAAGAGCCAGCUACAGGCCCAGACCAAGGCUUUCGAGUUCCUGAACCACUCAGUGACCAUGUUGGAGAAGGAGAGCUGCUUGCAGCAAAUCAAGAUUCAGCAGCUUGAAGACGUGCUGAGCCCUACAGGCCACCAGGGAGAGAAGGAGGGGCACAAGUCGGGCCCCUCUUUGGAGCAGGGCCAGCAGGAGCUUUAUGGGGCCCUGGCCCAAGGCCUGCAGGGGCUGGAGAAGACCCUGCGUGACAGUGAGGAGGUGCAGCGCGCCCGCACCACUCGCUGCCUGCAGCUGCUGGCCCAGGAGAUCCACGACAGCAAGAAGUUCCUGUGGGAGGAGCUGGAACUGGUUCGGGAAGAGGUGACCUGCAUCUAUCAGAAGCUCCAGGCCCAGGAGGAUGAGAUCUCAGAGAACCUGGUGAACAUUCAGAAAAUGCAGAAAACGCAGGUGAAAUGCCGCAAAAUCCUGACCAAGAUGAAGCAGCAGGGUUAUGGGACAUCUGCCUGGCCGGAGACUGAGGAGAUACUGCAGGGAGCCGGUGGCUGCUGGAAGGAUGACCUUCAGAAGGAACUGAGUGACAUAUGGUGAUGCCCAGCCCUCAGUCUGACCCCUGACCCUCGUGUGAACCCCUUUCCCAAACGGGAUCUGGCAGUGACUUCCAGAACCUGGAGCCCACCUGAGUCCAGAGCUCCCUCACCCCCUAGGACUCACCCCACCAUGACCCCCAACCUUGGUCCUACUGCUGUCCACUCCCUGAGCAGUCUGGAAUCUCCCAGAACCCCCAGCUCCUCAUCUUCCUGCAGGUCUGCUGUGCAUGUGCUGCAGAACUCCAUCGACGGCGUCACCAUGUCUUUGGGGGCUCAUCCCAAGGCCUCAAGCCCCAGGGGCCACAGGGGGCACCGGUACCUGAGCCGUCCACUCCCCUCCUGGGACUCUGACUCUGACUCUGACGAGGACCUCUCUCAGCCACCUUUCAGCAAGAGCCGUCGUUCCUUCCCACACGCUUGAGCAGCCGGGACUGCUCUCCCUGAAGACCCCUCCAGAGAGAAAAUAAACUAGCCGAGACCCUCUUCU